Vespula pensylvanica (western yellowjacket) is the source of this 641-nucleotide long non-coding RNA. RefSeq lists it as uncharacterized. NCBI's taxonomy places the organism in Eukaryota, Metazoa, Arthropoda, Insecta, Hymenoptera, Vespidae. The transcript is spliced from 3 exons. The record is from RefSeq and is a predicted model, not a curated record.
CUCGCAAGGACAAAGCGAUGAGCCAAAGGAAGGAUUGUCUCUGCGUUAGCUGGCUGGUUGGCUGACUGGUUGGAUAGCGAGGAGUGGCGCAGCAGCGGGAAAAUUAGGACAGCCGAUAUAUAGGUAGGAAAGGCUCGUUUCGUCGAGAGGGUGGAUGGCGUCGAGAGGAGGCUGCUGCGUCCCGGGAGCGCGGAUGCUGGGGACUCCCGAGUGAGCUGUUUGCAGUUCCUUCCACGAGCCUUCGGUUUGCAUUAGUUUGCAUACUGACAUCAACAUCAAAAGCAUUCUCAGACGAGUUUCGGACGAAUCGGUCGACCGUGCCAAACCAGCCACAGCAUUUCCGUGGUCGAGCGGGAUAACGAGUUAAAGUUCAGCAAGCUGUUUCUGGCCGUGUGAAGUAAGAGCUGAUUAGAAUGCGGAUGAGGUCGAUCGGUUGGUGGUGAGCCGCUCGCUUUACGAUCCCGUUCGCUCUAAACAAUACGAACGAUCCGUCCCAACGAGAAAGUUCGUGGAUGGAAUGAAAAAUGGUGGAAAAAACGUCAAACGACACAGGCGUACACGGAGAAGAAUGAUCGAUUGGUUCGAUUAACCGGUCGUAACGAAGUCCUGCUGCUUUUCCAGUUUCAGAGAUAAAAGGAGCA